AGCAGUCGCCGCGGUAAUACGGAGGGAGCUAGCAUUGUUCGGAAUUACUGGGCGUAAAGCGCACGUAGGCGGUUAUUCAAGUCAGAGGUGAAAGCCCGGGGCUCAACCCCGGAACUGCCUUUGAAACUAGAUGACUAGAAUCUUGGAGAGGUCAGUGGAAUUCCGAGUGUAGAGGUGAAAUUCGUAGAUAUUCGGAAGAACACCAGUGGCGAAGGCGACUGACUGAACAAGUAUUGACGCUGAGGUGCGAAAGCGUGGGGAGCAAACAGGAUUAGAUACCCCCGUAGUCCCUGUCUCUUAUAC
Molecule: ribosomal RNA, 303 nt
Filed under: uncultured bacterium
Lineage: Bacteria
Description: partial 16S ribosomal RNA
Rfam family: Bacterial small subunit ribosomal RNA
Source: RNAcentral